CCUACGGGAUGCUGCAGUGAGGAAUAUUGGUCAAUGGUCGGGAGACUGAACCAGCCAAGCCGCGUGAGGGAUGAAGGUACAGAGUAUCGUAAACCUCUUUUGUCAGGGAACAAAGGCGGGGACGUGUCCCCGGAUGAGUGUACCUGAAGAAAAAGCAUCGGCUAACUCCGUGCCAGCAGCCGCGGUAAUACGGAGGAUGCGAGCGUUAUCCGGAUUUAUUGGGUUUAAAGGGUGCGCAGGCGGGUUGUUAAGUCAGCGGUAAAAGCCCGGGGCUCAACCCCGGCCCGCCGUUGAAACUGGCAGUCUCGAGUUGGAGAGAAGUAUGCGGAAUGCGCGGUGUAGCGGUGAAAUGCAUAGAUAUCGCGCAGAACUCCGAUUGCGAAGGCAGCAUGCCGGCUCCACACUGACGCUGAGGCACGAAAGCGUGGGUAUCGAACAGGAUUAGAUACCCUUGUAGUC
This 459-nucleotide ribosomal RNA is filed under the name uncultured bacterium. RNAcentral's name for it is "partial 16S ribosomal RNA". It matches the Rfam family "Bacterial small subunit ribosomal RNA", at positions 338 to 795 of the family's 1533-position model. The record is from RNAcentral.